CGGGUAAUGGCUGACGGCGACGGCCGGCGGUUUGCGGCCGCCGGCCCACCGUUCAGAAGUCGAUCUUCGCGC
RNAcentral lists this transfer RNA (72 nucleotides) under Burkholderia contaminans. Its description in RNAcentral is "tRNA-Ala". Lineage: Bacteria; Pseudomonadati; Pseudomonadota; Betaproteobacteria; Burkholderiales; Burkholderiaceae. The record is from RNAcentral.